UACAAAUUCACAAUUGACACGUGUUCAAUUGUGCUAUUCAUUUUUUGUAAAGCUGAAUUUUAUUGCGACAAAGGUUAAAUUUGUAUCUCAAUGUGUUUGUAUAAGUUAACAAUUGUAAACAUGUUUUUAAUUCCAAGUAAAAUUGUCGCGCUUAAUUGCAAGAAUACAGUAUUAAUGCUAUAAAACAAAAGGUAUCCCAUAAUUCCAAAAAGUCACGUUUUAUGAGCUAAAUAUAUAUAUAUAUAUGUAUGCGUAUGUAUAUAAGAACAAGUUAUAUAUAGAAUAUAUUCUAUAUGCUGUAUUUCAAGUAUUGUGUGAAUAGUAGUAAAAAGCAGAUUAACCUAAUAUAGUCUAUUAUUAUAUCAUUAUUAUAUAUCGAGAAUGACUUUUUAUAUUCAACAAUGGGUAGAGUAUAUUUGAUUAUGAGAUUUCGGUUAAGAACUUUCGAAUGCUUUUCACAUAUUCCUAUUACAUAUUCAUUGAAGCCGGUGUCAUGCGCUCAUCUUUAGCAUCUCUCUGAAACAGCUUAGUUAUUACGUCCUGUCACACAUCUGAAUGCAUACAUACAUAUAUGCACGUUAGCUAAAAAUUAUAACUUAAAUUCUCUGCUCUGCCGGCCAUUUGAGCUGGCUUCCAGUUGUGCCUAAUUCCAGGAUGGGUUUUUUCGCCCUGCAGAUUGUGGGCUGCCUAAUCUUUGGUGCUGGUAAAGCUUGGCGCUUUGCUUAUGUUUCAUUUGAAUCACAUGGCUUCUGGCUAGGCGGUUGGGUUGGUUGGGCAUGGCUCGGUGUCACUCGGUUGGGCUUAUCUUUUAUAGGGCCAAAUGUCUUUGUUGCUUUCAGUUGUUGGCCGCCAGCCUGAAAUUGGGUGCAAAAAACGUUUUAGACUUGCCCAAAACAAAACAGGAAAAAAUUGGAUAAACAUUAUUUGGCUCUGACUGAAUGAUACACUGCUCAAAAUUUACUUGAUAUAAGUGUGAAGCUCAUUACAUGAUAUAUAGUUAACUGAUUAGUUAUUAAAUCAGAAAUAAUUAUUGCUCGAUUAUAUGCAAGUCCGAA
Molecule: long non-coding RNA, 1055 nt
Organism: Drosophila mojavensis
Lineage: Eukaryota; Metazoa; Arthropoda; Insecta; Diptera; Drosophilidae
Exons: 2
Source: RefSeq, a predicted model, not a curated record